GUUGUUGUUCUACUCAGGAUGAAGUGGAUCUCACUGUGGCUUUGAUUUGGAUUUCCGUAUUGACAAUUGAUAUUGGUUUUCUGUCUUAAACUUCCAGUGUAGUGGUAAAAACAGAUUUCUCUGUCUAGUUCCUGAUAUUAAAGAAUUUGUCAGUGUGGCCAUCUCGUCUUGUGUUUUCUUUUUGGGGAGGUUUUGACUACGAAUUCAAUCACUUUACCUAUGGAUCAACAGGUACCCAGAGUAUGCUCUUCUCAUGACAAAUGGCAAAAUCCCAAUGAGUGAAAAUAUUUGAUGUCUAAUAAAGCCUCAGCUUACAACUGACUAAAAGGCUUUUCAUAUGGCUCUUUUCAUUGCAUUCCUGCUUAUUUCCUAUAUGUCAACA
This 382-nucleotide long non-coding RNA is filed under the name Homo sapiens (human). RNAcentral describes it as "HSALNT0334891". The record is from RNAcentral. Lineage: Eukaryota; Metazoa; Chordata; Mammalia; Primates; Hominidae.